RNAcentral lists this ribosomal RNA (253 nucleotides) under uncultured bacterium. RNAcentral's name for it is "partial 16S ribosomal RNA". It matches the Rfam family "Bacterial small subunit ribosomal RNA", at positions 524 to 776 of the family's 1533-position model. The record is from RNAcentral.
UACGGAGGGUGCAAGCAUUAAUCGGAAUUAUUGGGCGUAAAGGGCGCGUAGGCGGGUUUAUAAGUCAGAUGUGAAAUUCCGAAACUCAAUUUCGGAGCUGCAUUUGAAACUGUAAGUCUUGAGGGAUGGCGGAGAAAACGGAAUUCCACGUGUAGCGGUGAAAUGCGUAGAUAUGUGGAAGAACACCUGUGGCGAAAGCGGUUUUCUAGCUAUGACCUGACGCUGAGGCGCGAGAGCAAGGGGAGCAAACAGG